Molecule: ribosomal RNA, 255 nt
Filed under: uncultured Gardnerella sp.
Lineage: Bacteria; Bacillati; Actinomycetota; Actinomycetes; Bifidobacteriales; Bifidobacteriaceae
Description: partial 16S ribosomal RNA
Rfam family: Bacterial small subunit ribosomal RNA
Source: RNAcentral
CCGGGGUAGAGUAAUGCGUGACCAACCUGCCCCAUGCUCCAGAAUAGCUCUUGGAAACGGGUGGUAAUGCUGGAUGCUCCAACUUGACGCAUGUCUUGUUGGGAAAGUGUUUAGUGGCAUGGGAUGGGGUCGCGUCCUAUCAGCUUGUAGGCGGGGUAAUGGCCCACCUAGGCUUCGACGGGUAGCCGGCCUGAGAGGGCGGACGGCCACAUUGGGACUGAGAUACGGCCCAGACUCCUACGGGAGGCAGCAGUC